AAACUCAAUUAUAGUAGGACUAGAACUAACUUCCAACUCAAACUUCCACUCAACCAUCCCGAUUAUGCCUCCCUUGCUGCUAGAAUCGCUGUCUCCAGUCUCCACAAGAACACUAAAAACUCAUUUUCUGAAACGGUUAGAGAUAUGUACGAUCAUGUCAAUGAGAGUUCUGGACUCAAGGCUCCUCUAAUUGUUGAUGAUGUAUUCGAGAUCAUUAUGAAGGUAGUAUAGCUUUUGUUAUAAUCCCUCUAUCUGAUGAUGACCUAACAUUCAUCAUUUUAGAGAGUGCUGGGAUAAGAGAGCUUGUGACUUGUGUAUGACUGGGAUAAUCAAUUUUUUUUGUUUGUGUUGUGAAAUAUUCUAAAAUCACCCAAAGUUUAAUAACAAAAUCUAUAGAAUUACAUUCAUUUUUUUGUUUUUUAAAUAUAAAAAUGUUAAAAAAUAAUCAAAUCUCCUAAAAACUCAAUCAAAUCUUUCUAAAUUCUAAAAUAUUAAAAUCCUACCAAAUACAAGUUUAAUACCCCUCUUCGUCAUAAAGAUAUAAGAUGCGAUUUUUAAUUGUGAAGAUAUUUUAGUUAAUAUGAUGAACAACUAUGAAGCAUGGAGACGAGAACAAUUUUGAUAAAUGUGAAUGGUUAUUUUUCUCAGUAUACGUGUCACAUCUUUAUUCUCUGUUUUUUUUUCUUUUCGAUCUCAUCCUAUUUUUAAUGGGCUUUUAUUCCACGUUUAUCUCAUAUCUCUUCCUUUUGUUAAUGGACUGAAACUGUAUGGGCCACACAGAAUUUCUCGCUUCCCCAAACCGAAACGAAACCGACGGGAUCUCCGACUUCAGUCUUCUUUUCUUCCUCGCCUCUCUCUCUUCCCCACUCCUCCCCCCUUAUCUGUUCCACUCCGGCAGAUCCCGAAUUAGCCGUCUCAAAGUGAAGCUCGUUGGAUAGAGAUCCGUCUUCUCCUCUUCCUCGCCUAUCUCUCUUCCCCACUCCUCCCCCUUAACUGUUCAACUCCGCCUGAUUUCGUAACAGCCGAGUCGAAGUGACUCUCGACGCCUCAAUUCCAUUGGAUAGAGGAAAAUGAGUGUUUGUCUCGCGUGUUCUCUCUCCUGCGACUACAACGAUGACGACGGCGGCUCUCUUGAAGUCAUUGUCGCCGUGAAGUCCGGUAAGACUGUAAACCAACCCCGACUCUGGCAUGUUGAGGUUAAUUUGGAGAAACUCCAUUUGGGGAUGAUGUGGUACUCGACAGAGGAUUGUCAUUUCCUGCCCUUGAAGCAAGGUUUCGAUUGCUAGAACUUGCAAUUGUAUAUACGCUUUGAUUCAACCAGAGACAACGAGAUGUGGAAUUCAGAGAAUCUUCUAAUGAUCAGAGACAACGACUUUUAUCUGACAUGGUGAGACUUGAGGCAAAAGUUGAAAGGCUUGAGACUCAAUUGCAAGCCAAAGAGAGGGAACUUGGUUCUCUCACAAGAACAUAAGCUAAGAAUACAACGGCUUUAAAGGCACAGAACGAUAAGCUACAGAAAGAGAGAGAUGACUUUCAACGGAUCGUGAUUGCUAACCAGCAAGUCAAGACCCGACAGUUACAUGAAACGAAGAAGAAAGAAAAGGAGUAUAUAAAGUUACAGGAGAGGUUAAACCAAGUGUUGAUGGAGAAAAAGAAGGAAACAAGAUCAGGCAUGGAGAUUAUGAAUCUACUCCAGUCAUUUUCUAGGAUUGUGCUAUGCUUAUUAUGAUCUGUUGAGCAUUUUCAAGGAAAGAACUGGAAGAAAAUAGGACCGCCUAAUUGCGUUCUGAUAUGUAUUCUUUAGUUAGUAUGUUGAAAGUAAUGAUUCACCUUUUCAGCUGAUUGAUUUAAGGAUCAGACUGAUGCCCCGUUUCUUUCUCAUUGAUGGCAAAAGGUCUUAAACCUGGAGCUUUUGAAAGGACCGUGGUCAAAAGAGUUUCUACCAUUUUGCUAUGUUUAUUAUGAUCUGUUGAGCAUUUUCAAGGAAAGCACUGGAAGAAAAUAGGCACGACUUUUGGAGAGGACCCCAUCUCUCAGUGAUCUAAAUGAGCUCGUGUAUGGACAGUUCUGAAAAUUGCUCUAAAUAAAAUACCUUUAUGAGCU
Molecule: non-coding RNA, 2103 nt
Organism: Camelina sativa (false flax)
Lineage: Eukaryota; Viridiplantae; Streptophyta; Magnoliopsida; Brassicales; Brassicaceae
Source: RefSeq, a predicted model, not a curated record